GGGGUUACAGCUCGAUGGCAGAGUGUGUGCUUAGCACGCACAAGAUCCUGGGUUCAAUCCCCAGUACUUCCA
Molecule: transfer RNA, 72 nt
Filed under: Camelus bactrianus (Bactrian camel)
Lineage: Eukaryota; Metazoa; Chordata; Mammalia; Artiodactyla; Camelidae
Also listed under: 1 other name
Rfam family: tRNA
About the family: Transfer RNA (tRNA) molecules are approximately 80 nucleotides in length.
Source: Rfam by way of RNAcentral